GAUGAACGCUGGCGGCGUGCUUAACACAUGCAAGUCGAACGGAAAGGCCCAAGCUUGCUUGGGUACUCGAGUGGCGAACGGGUGAGUAACACGUGGGUGAUCUGCCCUGCACUUCGGGAUAAGCCUGGGAAACUGGGUCUAAUACCGGAUAGGACGAUGGUUUGGAUGCCAUUGUGGAAAGUUUUUUCGGUGUGGGACGAGCUCGCGGCCUAUCAGCUUGUUGGUGGGGUAAUGGCCUACCAAGGCGUCGACGGGUAGCCGGCCUGAGAGGGUGUACGGCCACAUUGGGACUGAGAUACGGCCCAGACUCCUACGGGAGGCAGCAGUGGGGAAUAUUGCACAAUGGGCGCAAGCCUGAUGCAGCGACGCCGCGUGGGGGAUGACGGCCUUCGGGUUGUAAACUCCUUUCGCUAGGGACGAAGCGUUUUUGUGACGGUACCUGGAGAAGAAGCACCGGCUAACUACGUG
This 468-nucleotide ribosomal RNA is filed under the name uncultured bacterium. RNAcentral's name for it is "partial 16S ribosomal RNA". It matches the Rfam family "Bacterial small subunit ribosomal RNA", at positions 28 to 507 of the family's 1533-position model. The record is from RNAcentral.